ACGAACGCUGGCGGCGUGCUUAACACAUGCAAGUCGAACGGAAAGGCCCUGCUUUUGUGGGGUGCUCGAGUGGCGAACGGGUGAGUAACACGUGAGUAACCUGCCCUUGACUUUGGGAUAACUUCAGGAAACUGGGGCUAAUACCGGAUAGGGGCUCCUGCUGCAUGGUGGGGGUUGGAAAGUUUCGGCGGUUGGGGAUGGGCUCGCGGCUUAUCAGCUUGUUGGUGGGGUAGUGGCUUACCAAGGCUUUGACGGGUAGCCGGCCUGAGAGGGUGACCGGCCACAUUGGGACUGAGAUACGGCCCAGACUCCUACGGGAGGCAGCAGUGGGGAAUAUUGCACAAUGGGCGGAAGCCUGAUGCAGCAACGCCGCGUGCGGGAUGACGGCCUUCGGGUUGUAAACCGCUUUCGCCUGUGACGAAGCGUGAGUGACGGUAAUGGGUAAAGAAGCACCGGCUAACUACGUG
RNAcentral lists this ribosomal RNA (467 nucleotides) under uncultured bacterium. Its description in RNAcentral is "partial 16S ribosomal RNA". It matches the Rfam family "Bacterial small subunit ribosomal RNA", at positions 29 to 507 of the family's 1533-position model. The record is from RNAcentral.